This 227-nucleotide ribosomal RNA is filed under the name uncultured bacterium. Its description in RNAcentral is "partial 16S ribosomal RNA". It matches the Rfam family "Bacterial small subunit ribosomal RNA", at positions 383 to 607 of the family's 1533-position model. The record is from RNAcentral.
CUGAACCAGCCAAGUAGCGUGAAGGAUGACUGCCCUAUGGGUUGUAAACUUCUUUUAUAAAGGAAUAAAGUCAGGUAUGCAUACCCGUUUGCAUGUACUUUAUGAAUAAGGAUCGGCUAACUCCGUGCCAGCAGCCGCGGUAAUACGGAGGAUCCGAGCGUUAUCCGGAUUUAUUGGGUUUAAAGGGAGCGUAGGCGGACGCUUAAGUCAGUUGUGAAAGUUUGCGG